This is a long non-coding RNA of Symphalangus syndactylus (siamang), 1130 nucleotides long. RefSeq lists it as uncharacterized. Lineage: Eukaryota; Metazoa; Chordata; Mammalia; Primates; Hylobatidae. The record is from RefSeq and is a predicted model, not a curated record.
UUUCAAGUGACAUGAGAUUCUGCUUAGUUGGGCUUGGUGGCUCACACCUGUAACCCCAGCACUUUAAGAGGCCUAGAUGGGCGGAUCGCUUGAGCUCAGGAGUUUGAGACCAGCCUGGCAACAUGGUGAAACCCCAUCUCUACAAAAAAGUACAAAAAUUAGCCAGGCAUAGUGGCAUGAGCACCUGUAGUCCCACCUACUGAGGGUUGCAGGGGGAGCUGAGAUGGGAGGAUCCUGGGAGGUUGAGGUUGCAGUGCCCAUGCACUCCAGCCUGGGUGACAGAAUGAGACCCUGUCUCAAAAAAAAAAAAAAAAAAGAAAAGAAAGAAAAGGAAAAAAGAAGGUCUGCUCGAACUGAUUGCAACCAGCAAGGAGAUUUGUGGGCUCACAGAAGUGAAAGUACAGGGAUGCCUGCCUCGGGGCUGAUGCAGGACAGAAACAUAGAACAGCCACUCCCCAUACUGGAGCUGCCUAGCUGGAAAGGGGCAGGUUGAGAUUGCUCUCAGGUGGCCUGAAGGCAAAAGCUGCAUAUUAGCCACCACUCAGAACACGUGCUAGGGUCUAGAGGACGGAGGCAAAUCUGGAAACAGCUGCCUGUCCACCAUGACUGCCUGCAAUUUGCUAAGACCACCUGCAAUUUGCUAAGCGCUGAUAGGGAGGCCAGGCUCAGCUCAGAGAGCUCAGCUCCUGCAGACCUAGUCGAAUGUUUCUUGCUAGAUUUUGUUUUAUGUACUUUUGUAACCAAAUGCUCCCAUUUUUUCUAAGAAAAACGGAAUGAAUUACUUUUUUUUAUUAUCAUUUUCUAUUCUCUCCCCUUUCCCUCCUUCCUGUUUCCUACUCAGCCCUUCAGAAAUGCAAAUGUAACCGUUCAUCUCCCCCUAGACAUUCCCUUCAGGGCAAUUUCUUCAACGGCUCCAAGACAGAGCUUUCCUUGAGAGCUGACAGUCGAUUUGCUGACAGUUGAUUUGCAGACCGAAGCGUACCUGCCACGGAACUUUUACCUCCAUGGGGUGGCCUUGGAACUUCUGCUCUGCAAGCUGGAAGUGACCUUCAUCCUCCAGGAGGGUGUGAGCCACGGUGCCCCAACCAAGCCAUUUUCAUUGACAAUAAAAUCUCCCACAUUUGCUCUCC